CCGGCACCGCUUGCCCGGCACGACGACACCGCUUGCACGGCACGGCGCCACUCGCCAGUUCGGCCAGUGCAGUCAGCCACUCGCCAGUUCACCACCAGGCUCGCCAUUCGCACACAACAGUCCUAUGUCAACACCAACGGAGCAGUCCUCUAAUGAAGUAUGGUUUGAUUUUGUCUCUGUGUUGUCUUCUUUUUAGUGAUUUUUGCUUCAAAUGUUUAUUUGUGUCUGUGUGGCCACUAUAAUAUAGGUCCUAAAUGCCACCAAGGAAUCAGCACCGACCGCCGGCAACACUACUGAGGAAAAGAAAGAAGAUAACGCGAAGAAAAGGAAGGAGAUUGCACCUAGAUCAGAAGUAUGGUCUCACUUUGUCAAGAUUUGUGUUGAUGGACACUUGAAGAAAGGGAAAUGCAAGUAUUGCAGCCGUGAGAUCAAGUGUGACCCAAAUUUGAAUGG
RNAcentral lists this long non-coding RNA (453 nucleotides) under Zea mays. RNAcentral describes it as "long non-coding RNA (ZMAY_LNC002146)". The record is from RNAcentral. Lineage: Eukaryota; Viridiplantae; Streptophyta; Magnoliopsida; Poales; Poaceae.